RNAcentral lists this long non-coding RNA (468 nucleotides) under Androctonus crassicauda. The record is from RNAcentral. Lineage: Eukaryota; Metazoa; Arthropoda; Arachnida; Scorpiones; Buthidae.
GGCCGAAAUGCCGCUCAGCUGCUCUAUUUCCAUGUUCUUCUGCAUAUGCUAUUACUUUCAAUUUAUAGCCCACAUCAUAUGAAUACCUUCUAUUUUUUUCCAUUACCGUAUGAAACUAGCUACCGUACUACUACAAAACUAGCUACUUCGCUGAAAUUUCACUGCUCUCUAAAUGAGUGCUGAUUGGGGAAAAAAAUGUGUGGAUGGGAAAGUCCAUCUACACGUGCACAAUCUUGUGAAGGGAUAAUCGGCAAUUUUAAAAUUGUGGGAGGGGGAAAAUGUGUGGAUGGACAUUUUUAUAUUAAUUUCGAGUAUAAGACGCACCUGAAUUUUGGAGGCAAUUUUUCGAAGAAAAAAGUGUGUCUUAUAGUCCGUAAAAUAGGAUACAUUCAAAAAUAUUGGUGGUAGUUCAAAUCCAUAAUAACUUGAGAAGGAAUUUUUCAUAAUCACAAUAUUAUAUAAAUGGAG